This 400-nucleotide ribosomal RNA is filed under the name Bacillus sp. LT93. RNAcentral's name for it is "bacterial SSU rRNA". It matches the Rfam family "Bacterial small subunit ribosomal RNA", at positions 53 to 443 of the family's 1533-position model. Lineage: Bacteria; Bacillati; Bacillota; Bacilli; Caryophanales; Bacillaceae. The record is from RNAcentral.
ACAUGCAAGUCGAGCGAACAGAAGGGAGCUUGCUCCCGGAUGUUAGCGGCGGACGGGUGAGUAACACGUGGGUAACCUGCCUGUAAGACUGGGAUAACUCCGGGAAACCGGAGCUAAUACCGGAUAGUUCCUUGAACCGCAUGGUUCAAGGAUGAAAGACGGUUUCGGCUGUCACUUACAGAUGGACCCGCGGCGCAUUAGCUAGUUGGUGGGGUAAUGGCUCACCAAGGCGACGAUGCGUAGCCGACCUGAGAGGGUGAUCGGCCACACUGGGACUGAGACACGGCCCAGACUCCUACGGGAGGCAGCAGUAGGGAAUCUUCCGCAAUGGACGAAAGUCUGACGGAGCAACGCCGCGUGAGUGAUGAAGGUUUUCGGAUCGUAAAGCUCUGUGGUAAGG